This is a long non-coding RNA of Quercus robur (English oak), 587 nucleotides long. RefSeq lists it as uncharacterized. Lineage: Eukaryota; Viridiplantae; Streptophyta; Magnoliopsida; Fagales; Fagaceae. The record is from RefSeq and is a predicted model, not a curated record. The transcript is spliced from 3 exons.
AAAGUUGAAAGUGGGUGGGAUAUUUCUUUCCCUAGCCAUACACGUAUCCACCCCAAUUUUUCCACCUCUCUUAUCUGAUUUUUGCUGCCCCAAAAGUCUUCACAUUUUUCUCAUUUUCUUGACUGCAUCAGAUCAGAAGUCCAGCCCCUCUCUCUCUACUCCUUUUCCUCUUUCUUUGUUCUUCUUUCUCUCUUCUUCUGUUGCUUCUACAUGGCAGGUCUCCCUUUCUCACCAACACAAUAUAUUCCUCUCUAAAGAUGAAAUUAAAAAAUUAACCCUAAGGUUUCAGCUUCAAAUUGUUGUGGGUGUUACCAGUAUCCAAAUCUAAGCUCCUUCACUUUAGGCUCUCGGUUUCUCUACUUUCAGGUUUUAUUUUGGAGCAGAGGGAGCCUUAGUCGAGUUUUGGAAGGAGCUGGAUUAGUUUUAUAUGUAUAGAUCCUAAAUUAGCAAUAUGAUGUUUAGACUUGAAGCAUUGUUUAUUUUAGGAUCUAAUGAAAUGAUAUACCUUAAAGUAUUAAGAGAUGUAUUAUGUGAAAUUCCGAAUUUGAACAAUUAGUGAAUUAUGUUACUCUUUGGAGUACAAUGUA